GAUCAUGGCUCAGGAUGAACGCUAGCUACAGGCUUAACACAUGCAAGUCGAGCGGAACACCUUCGGGUGUUAGCGGCAGACGGGUGAGUAACACGUAUCCAACCUUUCCCUUACUCGGGUAUAGCCUCGGGAAACUGAGAGUAAUCCCCGAUGUGGUGCACGGAAAGCAUUUUUUGCGCACGAAAGAUUAAUCGGUAAGGGGUGGGGAUGCGUUCCAUUAGGUAGUAGGCGGGGUAACGGCCCACCUAGCCGAUGAUGGAUAGGGGUUCUGAGAGGAAGGUCCCCCACAUUGGAACUGCGACACGGUCCAAACUCCUACGGGAGGCAGCAGUGAGGAAUAUUGGUCAAUGGGCGAGAGCCUGAACCAGCCAAGUAGCGUGCAAGGAUGACGGCCCUAUGGGUUGUAAACUGCUUUUGUGCGGGAAUAACGGUCGCCACGUGUGGUGAUGUGCAUGUACCGUACGAAUAAGGAUCGGCUAACUCCGUGCCAGCCGCGGC
This 498-nucleotide ribosomal RNA is filed under the name uncultured bacterium. Its description in RNAcentral is "bacterial SSU rRNA". It matches the Rfam family "Bacterial small subunit ribosomal RNA", at positions 15 to 518 of the family's 1533-position model. The record is from RNAcentral.